Molecule: ribosomal RNA, 498 nt
Filed under: uncultured bacterium
Lineage: Bacteria
Description: partial 16S ribosomal RNA
Rfam family: Bacterial small subunit ribosomal RNA
Source: RNAcentral
GACGAACGCUGGCGGCGUGCCUAAUACAUGCCAGUCGAACGAGAGCGACCGGUGCUUGCACUGGUCAAUCUAGUGGCGAACGGGUGAGUAACACGUGGGUAACCUGCCCAUCAGAGGGGGAUAACAUCCGGAAACGGAUGCUAAAACCGCAUAGGUCUUCGAACCGCAUGGUUUGAAGAGGAAAAGAGGCGCAAGCUUCUGCUGAUGGAUGGACCCGCGGUGCAUUAGCUAGUUGGUGAGGUAACGGCUCACCAAGGCCGGGAUGCAUAGCCGAACUGAGGGGGUGAUCGGCCACAUUGGGACUGAGCCACGGCCCAAACUCCUACGGGAGGAAGCAGUAGGGAAUCUUCAGCAAUGGACGCAAGUCUGACGGAGCAACGCCGCGUGAGUGAAGAAGGUUUUAGGAUCGUAAAACUCUGUUGUUAGAGAAGAACAAGUGCUAGAGUAACUGUUAGCGCCUUGACGGUAUCUAACCAGAAAGCCACGGCUAACUACGUG